AGCGAACGCUGGCGGUAGGCUUAACACAUGCAAGUCGAACGGCAGCACACUACGAGCUUGCUCUUACGGGUGGCGAGUGGCGGAAGUGAGAGGAAAAUAACCGACUCUUCUCUUUCGUGGGGGAUAACGUAGGGAAACUUACGCUAAUAUCGCAUACGACCUACGGGUGUAAGCAGUGGAUCUUCUGACCUGGCGGGUGUGGAUGGGCCGGUGGCUGAUUAGCUAGUUGGCGGGGUAGUGGCCCACUAAGGCGACGAUGGGUAGCCGGACUGAGAGGGUGACCGGCAACAUUGGGACUGAGAUAAGGCCCAGACUGCUACGGGAGGCAGCAGUGGGGAAUAUUGCACAAUGGGAGGAAGCCUGAUGCAGAAACGCCGCGUGCGGGAUGACGGUUUUCGGGUUGUAAAAAGCUUUCGCCUGUGACGAAGCGUGAGUGACGGUAAUGGGUAAAGAAGCACCGGCUAACUACGUG
This 472-nucleotide ribosomal RNA is filed under the name uncultured bacterium. Its description in RNAcentral is "partial 16S ribosomal RNA". It matches the Rfam family "Bacterial small subunit ribosomal RNA", at positions 30 to 507 of the family's 1533-position model. The record is from RNAcentral.